AUGGAAAUGAUGAUUCUUUCCCCAAAUGAACGACGCUGAUUAAAUUGAGCGAUUUUUUUCUCUUUUUGAGAAACCAAGCCAAGCGUUCUGAUCCAU
This is a small nucleolar RNA of Juglans microcarpa x Juglans regia, 96 nucleotides long. RefSeq annotates it as small nucleolar RNA Z103. NCBI's taxonomy places the organism in Eukaryota, Viridiplantae, Streptophyta, Magnoliopsida, Fagales, Juglandaceae. The record is from RefSeq and is a predicted model, not a curated record. The transcript has a single exon.